Molecule: unclassified non-coding RNA, 806 nt
Filed under: Hevea brasiliensis (rubber tree)
Lineage: Eukaryota; Viridiplantae; Streptophyta; Magnoliopsida; Malpighiales; Euphorbiaceae
Source: RNAcentral
UUUACGUUUAAAAAUGAAAACAAAACAUAAAACUUCCAUGCUUUUCACAAAAUUGAUCUGUUCACUGUUUCACUGAACAGAAUCUGUCAUAGCUGAUAACAUAAGCUCUCUUUCUAUAUGUUAACGUUUGAUACUUAUCUAAGUAUAUUAUUAUUCUUAUUAUUUUCUUCAAUGGUAUCAAAUCAAUUGUAGCUGCAUUGGCUUUCUUGUUGUAUAGAGGAAGGUGAAUGUUCUCUAUAGUACUAAAUGAUUGAUGGGUAUGGCUCUGUUGCUGCUGAAAAAUAUGCUAAUUGUUGCAAAAAGAAUGGGUCAAGUCAGUAGAAUAAUUCAACUCCAAGAAGUUAGGAGACUUGUUACUAACAAAGAUGUUAUUGACAGCAUUUCAGUUGAUCAUUUAAAUGUUUGAUUUUAGCAUAGCUCAAAAUCUUGGAUAAUUAAUGCAUUCUGUCAAUAAAAUAAGAUCAGUCUCAUUAUAAGCCUUUUCUUUGUGAGCACCUAUUUCUAUCAAAAACCAAUAAAUGGUAUCACAGCUUAAUUCUUGAGUUACUUGUGAGAUUACUAAAACACCAAGCCAUAAAACACAAAUAAAAAUCAGAACCUAGCCAUAUUUCUUGUGGGAUCUCUGGGUCUCUUAGUUAGGAGAGUUGUUACUAACAAAGCUGUUAUUGACAUUACUUCAGUUGAUCAUUUGAAUGUUUGAUUUUAGCAGAGUUUUAUGGAUUCAGUUGCUCAAAGUCUUUGUAUAAAUAAUGACUUCUAUCAAUAAAAUAAAAUCAGAUAUUUUCAGUCUCAUCUUAUCUUACCGA